RNAcentral lists this ribosomal RNA (348 nucleotides) under uncultured bacterium. RNAcentral's name for it is "bacterial SSU rRNA". It matches the Rfam family "Bacterial small subunit ribosomal RNA", at positions 29 to 406 of the family's 1533-position model. The record is from RNAcentral.
AACGAACGCUGGCGGCAGGCCUAACACAUGCAAGUCGAACGCUCCGCAAGGGGAGUGGCGCACGGGUGAGUAACACGUGGGAACCUACCUUCUGGUACGGAACAACCAAGGGAAACUUUGGCUAAGACCGUAUACGACCUCCGGGUGAAAGAUUGAUCGCCGGAAGAGGGGCCCGCGUCCGAUUAGGUAGUUGGUGAGGUAACGGCUCACCAAGCCUUCGAUCGGUAGCUGGUCUGAGAGGAUGACCAGCCACACUGGGACUGAGACACGGCCCAGACUCCUACGGGAGGCAGCAGUGGGGAAUAUUGGACAAUGGGCGCAAGCCUGAUCCAGCCAUGCCGCGUGAGU